AAAUUUUAUUUUUUAUUAUAUUUAAGAAAAAUUUUAUAUUAUGAUAGUUAAUUAGUAUUGAGAAAGAAUUUAUGUAAAUUAUAAAAGAAAAUUUUAUUUAUUGUACCUUGUGUAUCAGGGUUAAUUAAUUAUUAAUUUAAGUUUAAAUUUUCUCGAAUUUAUAAGAGCUAAUUAAAUAUAUAUAUUAUUGUAAAAUAAAUAUUUUUAAUAUUAAGUUAGUAAUGAAACGUUAUUCGUUUAUAAAUAUAUCUAGUUUUUUAAGAAAAAAAUUUAAUUUUAUAUUUAAAAAUAUUAAAUUUAAUUUUUAAUUUAAUAUUAAUAAAUAUUAAUAUUUUUAGGGAUGAGCUUAAAAAUAAAUAAUUAUAAAUUUAUAAUAGUAUAAAAUAUGUAGAAUUAGUAAUAUUUUUCAUUAAUAAUUUGUUAUACUUAGUUUUAGUUAAUAUAUAAUUUUUAUAAAUUUUAAAUUUUUUAUUGAAAUUUUUAUUUUAAUUAUAAAUAUAAAUUAAUAAUGAUUAAAUUAGUAAAUAUAUAAUAUAAAUUAUGAAUAAUAAUUUAGAUUAAUCUAAGGAAUUCGGCAAAAUAUUUUUCACCUGUUUAAUAAAAACAUGGCCUAUUGUUUAUGAUUUUAGGUCUAACCUGCCCACUGAUAGUAAUUAAAGGGCCGCGGUAUUUUGACCGUGCAAAGGUAGCAUAAUCAUUAGUUUUUUAAUUGAAAGCUGGAAUGAAAGGUUGAAUGAGAAAAUAACUGUCUCAGUUUAAGUAAUUGAAUUUUAUUUUUAAGUUAAAAAGCUUAAAUAAUUUUAAAAGACGAGAAGACCCUAUAGAGUUUUAUAUUGAUUUUAAAAUUAAUUUUUUAGAAUUAAUUAAUUAAUUUUUUAAUUUUAUUUAAUUGGGGUGAUUGAAAAAUUUAAUUAACUUUUUUUAUUUAAAACCAAUAAUUUUUGAAUAAUUGAUCCAAAAUUUUUGAUUAUUAGAAUAAAUUACCUUAGGGAUAACAGCGUAAUUUUUUUUUAGAGUUCAUAUUAAAAAAAAAGAUUGCGACCUCGAUGUUGGAUUAAAGUUAAAUUUUGGUGUAGAAGCUAAAAAGUUAAGUCUGUUCGACUUUUAAAACUUUACAUGAUCUGAGUUUAAACCGGCGUGAGCCAGGUUGGUUUCUAUCUUUAAAUAAAUAAAAUAUUUUAGUACGAAAGGACCAAAUAUUUAAUUAAAAAUUUUUUAAUAAGAAUAAUAUUA
This 1233-nucleotide ribosomal RNA is filed under the name Cucujoidea sp. 39 KM-2017. RNAcentral's name for it is "partial 16S ribosomal RNA". The stretch from base 991 to 1149 matches the Rfam family "Archaeal large subunit ribosomal RNA", at positions 2542 to 2701 of the family's 2987-position model. Lineage: Eukaryota; Metazoa; Arthropoda; Insecta; Coleoptera. The record is from RNAcentral.